AAGUCGUAACAAGGUCUCCGUAGGUGAACCUGCGGAGGGAUCAUUACUGAGUGAGGGCUCACGCCCGACCUCCAACCCUUUGUGAACACAUCUUGUUGCUUCGGGGGCGACCCUGCCGGCACUUUGUCGCCGGGCGCCCCCGGAGGUCUUCAAACACUGCAUCAAUGCGUCGGAGUUUAAAACAGAUUAAACAAAACUUUCAACAACGGAUCUCUUGGUUCUG
Molecule: unclassified non-coding RNA, 223 nt
Filed under: Pseudocercospora norchiensis
Lineage: Eukaryota; Fungi; Ascomycota; Dothideomycetes; Mycosphaerellales; Mycosphaerellaceae
Description: partial internal transcribed spacer region
Rfam family: Eukaryotic small subunit ribosomal RNA (bases 1-46)
Source: RNAcentral